Mauremys reevesii (Reeves's turtle) is the source of this 7070-nucleotide long non-coding RNA. RefSeq lists it as uncharacterized. Lineage: Eukaryota; Metazoa; Chordata; Testudines; Geoemydidae. The transcript is spliced from 4 exons. The record is from RefSeq and is a predicted model, not a curated record.
GCAGAGGGGCGUUUGAAUGGUGGCGGAGGAGCUAGCUUGUGAUGCGUUGGAUUCGACCGAAUUUUAUGGUGGAGGACACUGGCAAUGGAUGGUCCGUCUUAGGAUCUCUGGAACAUCGGAGGAUCUGGCUCUCUUACUGCCGAAGCAGAUCAACAGAUCUGAGCUGACAGCAAGCCUUCACUGGAUCCUUUUGUGGAUUACAGGAAUUAGUGUCUUGUGGAACUGGAACUAUCAUUUGGAUUUGGCGGUCAGUGUGGGGAUCCAGGGGCUGACUGAACAUCCCAAGAAAUGAACAAAUCUCUACAUUAUGUGGAGGAAGAUAAAACAGUGGGGGUUAACUGGAACAGAGGUUCUCAAGGUCUCAACCGCACAACGUGUUCAGGAGAGUCCCAGUCUAAACUGGGAUAGAGAGAGAGAGAAAAAUGGGGUUGGGGGAGCAAUGGACUUCUUGAUAUUUGCUUUCCCACUGGAAAUUGCAACAAGACAUUAAGCAACAGGAUUUGCUCCACUCAGUUGACUUAGAACAGCUGCUCACCAAUUUUUUCAGCCCCGGGAGGAAAAGCAGAACUUUGCCCUGGGUCUGAGCAGCUUUUCAGAAGCAAUCCAAGUCAACCUUCCACUCAAUGACUUCAUUCAAAGCUGGUUUACAUCAUGAAGAGAAACUCCGUUUAUUUAUUUGUAAUAACUUCGGGGUUUAUGGACCUGCAAGGGGAUGUAAUUUAAGAAAACAGCGGCAAGCUUUUUCAAAUACCAAGGUUUCAAAACAGGCCCUGUGAAAAACUCAUCAAUGGAAAGAGUUCAUUAUUAAAAAUCAAAAACUACAGCAAAACAUCUUUGUAGAGGACUUUGGAGAGAGAGCUUCUGAAACUUUCUGUCUGCAAUACAUAACCUUUAAAUGGCUAAAGGAAAAGACGAGCUUCCUUCAAGGUCACUGAACUAGCUUCUGAACAGAAUUGGUGAUAGUGUAGUUUACUAUCUCAAUGGCACAAUAAGCACCUUUUUAAAAUACCUCACCUAGCAAUUUUAAAUAUAUAGAAAGAGAAUUUAACAGCUUUGAUUUUAAAAAAUACUCUGAGUCCCACUUCAAGCUCAGGAAUGAGAGUCAGAGACUAUCUUCCAAGCUCUGCCACGGAACCAUUCCCACCAUAGACCAUUCUCCAUGUGGAUAGCAAUACAUUCCCAUCUCCCAGGCGUGUUUGUGGGUUUAGAAUACUUUAGAAAAAUUUAGAGUCUCAGCUGCUGGAAGGCAGUUUGAACUGGUGACUAAAACAGGGAACCGGCGGACAAAACCCCCGUGUUUCAUUCGCAACCUACUCCAUCAUCUCGGGCAAGUCAUUUCACCUCUUGGUGCCUCACUAUCUAUAAACGGGAGAAGGUUUACGCCUCAUUGCAAUGCAUGUUGGGGCUCUUGGACAGAGGAUGUUGUAUAAAUGCACGAGCCAAUAUAACCAGAAAAUAAAACAGACACAACCCUUGUUAGUGACUCAGGCACUACCACACAGUGCAUGGUUUCCAUUUGUCUGAAGAACAGACUGGCCAUCCACCCAACAGCAUGGAACAGUGUGUGUUCUCUUACCAACCCACACAGUGCAGCCAAAGCACAGGCUGCCAAGCUACCAAGACAGCUCAUCCCAGCACACUGCUCAUCCACCCAUGUAACACAACAUGCUGCUUCCCAACUGGACCACCAUGAAACCCAGCUGUAGAGUGCAGUGACCUCGGGUCUACUAGUUUUUAAUGGCUACAGCAAAGAAAUGUUAACCCUUUCCUUCCUUUUUGUUAAAUUCAGAGGUGGAGAGAAAUCAAUAUUGGUAGGAGCUUGUUGGAAGGGGAGAGUGGCAGCAUUGAAAGAAGGGAGAGGGAGCCAGAGAAGUUCAGCGUGAAGUAUGAGAGGUUGGCAUGGGAGGAAGAGCAGUGAGGGGAACUGUACAGGUGGGGAGGCCAUAAGGAUAAUUUAAUAAUUACCACUCUAAGAGCCUACAGAAGGAGAUCCAGCUACUACCAGGUGUGCACAGCAGAGGAGUGGCCUGCUGGAUUGGUGCACCUGGGACUGGUGCCAACUCUGUGAAAAGAGUGACAGUGGGCACACUGCAACCCUUUGAUCUGAGUGACAUCUCAGUACUAACCAGGUAAGAAUACAGAGACUCUGCCCAUGAUGUCAGAAGUUAUGGGUACCUAUUGGGCUGAGCCAGCCAUGCUAAUCUAUGUGGACAGCACAUAUCAGACAUCUCCUAUAAGGAGAUCACUGUUGCUCCUUAGGAUUUGACACCAUAACAGGCUCUUGUAGCUUCCACACUGAACACCAGUGGGGUGGCUAUUACAUCCAUAAUUCUAUUGUUCGCUGUAUGGAGGCGUUGGAGAUUCCCAAUGCCAUAUGUGAGGACAAUCUAACUUUGGAAUCUCUGUAUGGGCAGUACAUUAGUAUUCUUUUGCUUUCUAUGUGUUGCAUGUAGUCUUGAGGAUGCCAGCACACGGCUAAAUCAACUCUUUAUAAAUCCUCAGAAAUCUUCCAUUGCAAAUGUGGAGUGGAGGAUGGUGCACUUAGUGCUUGUGAAAAGGCACUGUGACAGUGCCAGAGCCUGAAGACCUCUACUUAUAUAGCAAAUACAGCAACAAUACAAACUUCCACAUGGCACCUCAACAACAAGUCUCAGCCCUCUGGAGGGGUCACAUAGGGGCAGAAGGAGAAGUCAGUCUCCAUAUCCAUUCAGUUUUUGGCUUCUCUCAUGAGAAUGCUAUCAGUGCUACUACCACUGUUCUCAACCCAUCUCCAUGCCCCUCCCUUAGUGUUACUGCUGCCCUCCCACCUGAAUACCCUCCCCCUUCCAAAUAGAGUUGUCUUCUCCAAGCUCUCAAGACUGUUUAUUUUCUCUUCCCAGUUGCAGUAGUCCUGAAACAUCCCAGAAUCCGUCUGUGCAUGACAGGAGCAAAGCCGCCUUCUGGGGGUCGUUAGGGUUGUUGAGGUGGGCAGGCAGCAGAUGGAAAGUGAACGAGUUCAGGAAGUCUGAGAAACAUGAGUAAGGAAGCAGGGAGGCAGACAAUGGAAAAUAAAUCUAGAUAAAUAAAAGGCUUUUUUUUCUUUUGCUCCAUCAUGCUUCGCAUUAGGAUGGGAACCCCAGUUCUGGAAGGGAAAGAAUUGCCCUCUUGCAAAUGACCCCUUUGAAUCAGAAGCUUUACCAAGGUAACUACCCCAGUAGCAGUGCAAUAAGGCAGGAUAUUAAAAAUCAUAUCAUUUAAAAAACCUCUCCCCUCCCCCUGUCCCAAGCCUAUGGCAACAUUCACAGCUGACAAAAUGUGCCUUCCAAAUAAAACCGGGUAUACGUUAUGUACCUUCCGCUAUGCCUGGGAGGGACGCUUGGGAGCUUUCCUUCCCAAGCCCAUCCCCUGCUGCUUUGGGGCAGAGUGUUCAGCUUUCCCACCAGGAUGAGUAAGGAAAAUGCCUUGUUUGGGCUCACAGACUGAAUUGUUUUCCCAACAAAGCCUCAGCUUGGUUCAGGCAGCCCCGAUAUUCCCAAGUUUUCCAGGGCUUUUUUUCCUGCUCGAAGAACACAUCACCUAGUGUCUGCCAGGCUUCUGCUUCUUGUUUGACAUCCCUUAUUUACAAAGCAAACAGAAUGUUCCUUUUAACACACAUCAUGCUAAGUUUAUUAAUGAAGAAAACAAUCCCAGGGGGUCAACCCAGGGGACCCUUGAAACCUGCCAGCAAAAACUCUUCAAACGCUCAACGCGUCAGAUCCUCCAAAACGAUAUUUCACACAAUGAAGUAAAAAUAAUAUUUUCCUUUCGGCCUUUCCAGCCGCUUUUGGGGCAAGCAGACAGAAAUUAUUUUCUUACUCUGCUCCCAGAGCAGAGAUCUGUAUGAAGCUGCGUUUAUUUGUUUAACACGAUGAUUUCAUCCUAAAUGUCUCGACAGCAAAUAGUUGGUGGUUUAAUAAAGGCCCUUUGAAAGAAGGGCCUGAGCAGUUAUUUGUACAGGGAAAAUGCAAAGUAUGCAGCUCUCAGGAGGAGAGCUAGAAAUGGCUGUUGUGAUUAAGGGGGUGCAGGGAGGACCCUGAACUCCUCUCUGUCUGCGAGGGGAGAACAGUAACUCCUGGGGCUCUGUUUCCUCAUACUGAGCUGCCACAUCUGACUAUAGGGAUGGAAGGAGUCUGACCUUAUUAUUAACAAAUGACUGAUACUCCCUCUCCACCCCAAAGCAAAUACUUUUACAAAAGACAAAGGACCCAUUCUUUGUACAUUGCUGUUAGAUUAUGAAAAUAAUAAAAUGAUGAUAAACACACUUGUAUUGGCUUGUGGCACCAGUACAGUAAUCUGAAGGGAGAAAUAUAUGUGGAGGCUGCUAGAAUAAAUCCUCAGACUUUACAGGGCUAACUCAUCAUGGGCCAGGUUUUCCAAAGGUGAGUAUAGGAUUUGCACCUACCAAAUGCCCAUGUGCACCUGUUGUGCCUGCAUAAACUCUCGUCUGUGUCUGCAAAAGUAUCAUUAACAGAGUGGAUGCACACAAACACAACUGGGACUGCAAAUUACCCUAUUUGCACACACAAAUGCCUGUUUGCAGGAACAAUGGGGCCACACACAAUUUUUGUGGAUGUAAUUAAUACAUGCUGUGUGGCAAAAUUUGGCUCUAAAGGCACAGAGAAAUAAAAUCUUGGAUAUAUUUCAUUUGGACUAUUUUUCAUCUGGCUAUGCAGUAUUCUUUGUUUGGUUCUGCAUAGGAGAGUAAACAGUCAUCUGAUUCUUGACCUUGCAUCUGCCUUUAAGUAGAUGUGUGUCUGAACCACAGAGAUUGGAUCAAGAUCAAAAUCCAGGUCCAAACAUUCCCAAAGUUCAAUGUUUUUUGGAUCUAAGAUUUGAUAUUGGCCCACUUCUAAUUUAAAUGUCCUUUUUUAACAAGAAAAAUGCAACCAGUAGUGUUUGAUGCUUGACAGUAGUUCUAAGAUCUAUCAGAACUUUAUUAUGCAUAAAUUAUGGAGUUUGGAUUAAUGGUUCAUCUUAGUUUAAUGUUAGGAUUUUUUUAAUAUGUUGUGCAAUGUAAUAACAAUUACCCAUAGCUAUAAGUAAUGAACCAGGCCAAAUUCAGUUCUUUUAACCAGGUAGAAGUUUGGAGUAACUCUACUGAAGUUAAAGAUACCUCAGAGGAGUUAGUCCAAGUUUUGUUUGGCAUAAAACUGAGAACACAAUUUGUCUCAUAAGCUUUGCAAAUAUUUUUGUCAUAUAUAAGGGGAAAGCAUUUCUUGACAAAUUCAUUGUGAGGGUUUUAAUUGCCUUUUCGCCUUCUGUUAAUGAUAUUACUUACACUAUCACUGACAUUUGAAACAAAGUUAACGGAAGGGCUUCAGUGGAUUCGAGCUUUUGUCCAAGGAACACUGUAGUACUUUGAUGUGAAAAAUAGUUGGGGGGUGUCCUUUAUCUUACCCAAUAUGUUCAGAUUGUGCAAUUUCGAGUGACGCAUAUGGCAGCAGAAGUAUUGCAAAAUUCAGUACCAUCUAUUUAUGCAAUAUUCAGCAAAACAUAUUAUAUAUUAUUUGGCUAUGACCUGUACAAUAAUUGCAAACAGUCAAAUAAUGAAAAGAAGGGAUCCAAACAAUAUGGAUGUCCUAAACUUUAAAAAUGUGGGGAGAAUGCAUAAUAUGCCCACAAAAAAGUGGGACUAUGGGGUAGAAGGGAAGUUAAAUAACAUGGCAUUGCGUCCUGGGUGAAUGUGCAAAGUAACUAUAAAUUCUUUAGAAUGGAGAUUGUGGGCUUGCUUUCAGUUUUACUCAAAGCAGCAUAACUGAGAUCAGAAUCUGGUCCAUUGUAUUUGAAGUGUUUGUAAAGUGACAUCGACAUUUAUUCUAUAGGAGAAAUAUUAACUGGAGCUGGUUGAAUGGUGAUAAUUGAACACUAAAAUUUGUAAACGUGGGGGAGAGGAGUUGGCUUGGUGAGGAAUUCAGAAACCAGUCCUAUUAGCUGAGCAUCUAUUUGGUUCAGAAAUAUUCAGUCAACAGCAUGAGUGAGCAAAUGGCAAUGUGAGCUUUGAGUCAUGUGACUUAGUUUCUGGUCCACGAUUGGAUGACCUAAGCUGGACGCAACUCAUUGGGGGUUUGAUUGUCUCUGGUGGAAUUGAGAGUGUGAGCACUCUUUGAGAGAGUUGCCAGGACAUAUUAACAGAGAAGCAGGAGCCCUAGGGAAUUGACAGAUGAAGGAGAUUUAUAAACAUCUCUUUCCAGCUGGUUUCUCACAGCACUAGUGAAUCCAGUUAUGUGUAUUUGACCAAAUCAUCCAGACCACCUCUGAAGUGCUGUGAAUUCAUUCAUGAAUACCAAUGCAAGAGGGCAAGGGGCUCACUGGUGUCUGGUAGUGAGUUUCAGCUGGCCUGACCAGUUGAAUGUGCCCCAACUUACUAACGUCAUAACUUUUAUCUAAAAGGUGCUAUAUAAGACAUCAAUAGAAAGCUAAUAUCUUAAUGAUAAUUAAUAUUAUUGUAUGGUGUAUAUAUGGAAGACAAAUUGAAAAUUACAAACAUUGGGAAUUAUGUUCUGAAAGUGUGUCUGCCAGGCAGGGGUAACAUAACCCCACCCUAGACAAAGGAAUGUAGUUCUGCCAUCUGGAAGAUAUUUCUAAGGUACAUUGAGACAAUGGGAAUGCAAUUGACAUAGAAGGUAAACAGGAGCAUCAUGCUAGCAAGGGGAGGACACAACCACUCAGCAUCACAGCACAGGGAGGAGAUAGCAGGAAGCAGAUCAAUGUACAUUUUAGCAAACACCAGCAUGGGAAGAAGCCAGCCUGGAACUUCCUCUACUUGGAGACUACAUGUUGCCUUCCUCACAGCUUGAAUGAACUUUACUUUGGAGUGUAAUCUUCAGAAGAAUCAAUUGCAAAGGUCCUCUGGACUAUAAAAGAGAGGGGCAAAGAAUCCCAAGUUGUCUUUUAUCUAAGAUGACAAAGAAAAAGAGCACUUUGGACUUUGUGGGAGAAACUGACCAGAGGGUUUGGUCAGCCAUCUUGCUGGAAGAUACAUUGGAAAGGAAAAUACCUUGAACAAAGGCUGUAGCUUUUUGUGUUAGAAAGAUUUGUUUCACUCCUAUUUA